This is a long non-coding RNA of Egretta garzetta (little egret), 103 nucleotides long. RefSeq lists it as uncharacterized. The transcript is spliced from 3 exons. The record is from RefSeq and is a predicted model, not a curated record. NCBI's taxonomy places the organism in Eukaryota, Metazoa, Chordata, Aves, Pelecaniformes, Ardeidae.
UUCUUCCCAUCCCCAAUCCAAACCACAGCCCUAUGCCAGUUACUAGGAAGAACAUUAACUCUAUCCCAGCCGAAACCCGGACAGCAGGGCAGGCGAAGCACAG